This 497-nucleotide ribosomal RNA is filed under the name uncultured bacterium. RNAcentral's name for it is "partial 16S ribosomal RNA". It matches the Rfam family "Bacterial small subunit ribosomal RNA", at positions 28 to 507 of the family's 1533-position model. The record is from RNAcentral.
GAUGAACGCUGGCGGCGUGCCUAAUACAUGCAAGUCGAGCGAACAGACGAGGAGCUUGCUCCUCUGACGUUAGCGGCGGACGGGUGAGUAACACGUGGAUAACCUACCUAUAAGACUGGGAUAACUUCGGGAAACCGGAGCUAAUACCGGAUAAUAUAUUGAACCGCAUGGUUCAAUAGUGAAAGACGGUUUUGCUGUCACUUAUAGAUGGAUCCGCGCCGCAUUAGCUAGUUGGUAAGGUAACGGCUUACCAAGGCAACGAUGCGUAGCCGACCUGAGAGGGUGAUCAGCCACACUGGAACUGAGCCACGGUCCAGACUCCUACGGGAGGCAGCAGUAGGGAGUCUUCCGCAAUGGGCGAAAGCCUGACGGAGCAACGCCGCGUGAGUGAUGAAGGUCUUCGGAUCGUAAAACUCUGUUAUUAGGGAAGAACAAAUGUGUAAGUAACUAUGCUCGUCUUGACGGUACCUAAUCAGAAAGCAACGGCUAACUACGUG